UACGUAGGUCCCGAGCGGUGUCCGGAUUUAUUGGGCGUAAAGCGAGCGCAGGUGGUUUAUUAAGUCUGGUGUAAAAGGCAGUGGCUCAACCAUUGUAUGCAUUGGAAACUGGUAGACUUGAGUGCAGGAGAGGAGAGUGGAAUUCCAUGUGUAGCGGUGAAAUGCGUAGAUAUGUGGAGGAACACCAGUGGCGAAGGCGACUCUCUGGUCUGUAACUGACGCUGAGGCUCGCAAGCGUGGGGAGCAAACAGG
This 252-nucleotide ribosomal RNA is filed under the name uncultured microorganism. RNAcentral's name for it is "partial 16S ribosomal RNA". It matches the Rfam family "Bacterial small subunit ribosomal RNA", at positions 524 to 776 of the family's 1533-position model. The record is from RNAcentral.